ACUAAAUAGAUACCCUGGUAGUCCACGCGGUAAACGAUGAAUACUAGCCGAUGGGGUGUUAAAGCCUUAGUGGCGCAGCUAAACGCGAUAAGUAUUCCGCCUGGGAAGUACGGCCGCAAGGUUAAAACUCAAAGGAAUUGACGGGGCCCGCACAAGCGGUGGAGUAUGUGGUUUAAUUCGAUGCAACGCGAAGAACCUUACCUACUCUUGACAUGGUGGGAAUGGCGUAGAGAUAUGCCAGUGCCGAAAGGAACCCACACACAGGUGCUGCAUGGCCGUCGUCAGCUCGUGUCGUGAGAUGUUGUCUUAAGUGACGCAACGAGCGCAACCCUUGCCUCUAGUUACCAUCAUUCAGUUGGGGUACUCUAGAGGGACUGCUGGCCUAUGGCCGGA
RNAcentral lists this ribosomal RNA (393 nucleotides) under uncultured bacterium. Its description in RNAcentral is "bacterial SSU rRNA". It matches the Rfam family "Bacterial small subunit ribosomal RNA", at positions 772 to 1167 of the family's 1533-position model. The record is from RNAcentral.